AUAUUUGAAAGCUGAGCUGUUGUGAUCAGAUAAAUCAGAUAGCUGGGCAAGAGUGUUCAGUGUUAGGCAAUAUCCCAGAAAAAACACUUCAAUUCCUUUCGCUGUCCCUUUCAGCAGGGCUGUUCAUGUAGUCUGUGACUUCAGUUUUGGAUAAGGAGAAAAUUGUAACCAAACCCAGCAUGAGUUUGCAAAUGUGGCUCAUUGCAUGGCUGCCUGAAUGCUGGCAGGAGGAGUGAGCAAGGCAUCAACCUGUUUUUGGCAUCAACCCACAACUGUCUCAUUUGAAACAGCUGCUUUGCCUGCUCUCACCACCUUUUCUUUUCCACAUGAGUGAAACUCUGAAUUUCUUCAACAUGGGGAGGAGAAGGAGA
RNAcentral lists this long non-coding RNA (371 nucleotides) under Cyanistes caeruleus (blue tit). RNAcentral's name for it is "lncRNA (ENSCCEG00000019323.1)". Lineage: Eukaryota; Metazoa; Chordata; Aves; Passeriformes; Paridae. The record is from RNAcentral.